UUGGAGGGCAAGUCUGGUGCCAGCAGCCGCGGUAAUUCCAGCUCCAAUAGCGUAUAUUAAAGUUGUUGCAGUUAAAAAGCUCGUAGUUGAAUUUCGGAAUCAAUUUAUUAGUCGUGCCAACGGUACGCACUGGUACAAUUGGUUUCUCCCUUCUGACGAAGCAUGAUGUCAUUAAUUUGAUGUCGUGGGGAAUCAGGACUGUUACUUUGAAAAAAUUAGAGUGUUUAAAGCAGGCUUUGGCUUGAAUACAUUAGCAUGGAAUAAUGAAAUAGGACGUUUGAUCUUAUUUCGUUGGUUUCUAAGAUCGACGUAAUGAUUAAUAGGGAUAGUUGGGGGCAUUAGUAUUCAAUUGUCAGAGGUGAAAUUCUUGGAUUUAUUGAAGACUAACUACUGCGAAAGCAUUUGCCAAGGAUGUUUUCAUUAAUCAAGAACGAAAGUUAGGGGAUCGAAGACGAUCAGAUACCGUCGUAGUCUUAACCAUAAACUAUGCCGACUAGGGAUCGGAUGAUGUUAAUUUUUUAAUGACUCAUUCGGCGCCUUACGGGAAAC
This 549-nucleotide ribosomal RNA is filed under the name uncultured Glomeromycotina. RNAcentral's name for it is "SSU rRNA". It matches the Rfam family "Eukaryotic small subunit ribosomal RNA", at positions 548 to 1098 of the family's 1831-position model. The record is from RNAcentral. Lineage: Eukaryota; Fungi; Glomeromycota.